AGUGAACGCUGGCGGUAGGCCUAACACAUGCAAGUCGAACGGCAGCACAGUAAGAGCUUGCUCUUACGGGUGGCGAGUGGCGGACGGGUGAGGAAUACAUCGGAAUCUACUUUUUCGUGGGGGAUAACGUAGGGAAACUUACGAUACUACCGCAUACGACCUACGGGUGAAAGCAGGGGAUCUUCGGACCUUGCGCGAUUGAAUGAGCCGAUGUCGGAUUAGCUAGUUGGCGGGGUAAAGGCCCACCAAGGCGACGAUCCGUAGCUGGUCUGAGAGGAUGAUCAGCCACACUGGAACUGAGACACGGUCCAGACUCCUACGGGAGGCAGCAGUGGGGAAUAUUGGACAAUGGGCGCAAGCCUGAUCCAGCCAUACCGCGUGGGUGAAGAAGGCCUUCGGGUUGUAAAGCCCUUUUGUUGGGAAAGAAAAGCAGCAUGUUAAUACCCCGCUGUUCUGACGGUACCCAAAGAAUAAGCAUCGGCUAACUUCGUG
This 492-nucleotide ribosomal RNA is filed under the name uncultured bacterium. RNAcentral's name for it is "partial 16S ribosomal RNA". It matches the Rfam family "Bacterial small subunit ribosomal RNA", at positions 29 to 507 of the family's 1533-position model. The record is from RNAcentral.